This 138-nucleotide small RNA is filed under the name Pan troglodytes (chimpanzee). RNAcentral's name for it is "processed transcript". Lineage: Eukaryota; Metazoa; Chordata; Mammalia; Primates; Hominidae. The record is from RNAcentral.
AUUUUAAAGGAUGACUGAUGGUCCUUGGAAGAGAAACAGUAAACAAAUAAGUUCCUGUCCCAUGAGCAGGGCCAGCUCACCAAGGAGCUGCAGCAGCACGUAAAGUCAGUGACAUGCCCAUGCGAGUACCUGAGGAAG